This 345-nucleotide unclassified non-coding RNA is filed under the name soil metagenome. RNAcentral describes it as "partial contains 5.8S ribosomal RNA, internal transcribed spacer 2, and large subunit ribosomal RNA". The stretch from base 1 to 120 matches the Rfam family "5.8S ribosomal RNA", at positions 35 to 154 of the family's 154-position model. The record is from RNAcentral.
GAUGAAGAACGUAGCGAAAUGCGAUACGUAAUGUGAAUUGCAGAAUUCAGUGAAUCAUCGAGUCUUUGAACGCACAUUGCGCCCCCUGGAAUUCCGGGGGGCAUGCCUGUCCGAGCGUCAUUGCUGCCCUCAAGCACGGCUUGUGUGUUGGGCCUCCGUCCUCCUCCCGGGGGACGGGCCCGAAAGGCAGCGGCGGCACCGCGUCCGGUCCUCGAGCGUAUGGGGCUUCGUCACCCGCUCUUGUAGGCCCGGCCGGCGCUUGCCGACACAUCAAUCUUUUUUCCAGGUUGACCUCGGAUCAGGUAGGGAUACCCGCUGAACUUAAGCAUAUCAAUAAGCGGAGGA